AUACUUACCUGGCAGAGGAAAAACCAUCAUCAGGCAGGUGGUUUUCCCAGGGUGAGACUUGUCCAUUGCACUUGGGAUUUGUUGACCCCUGCAAUUUCCCCAAAUGUAGGAAACUGUAUUGCAUAAUUUCUGUUAGUGGGGGACUGCGUGCACACUCUCCUCUG
Erinaceus europaeus (western European hedgehog) is the source of this 164-nucleotide non-coding RNA. NCBI's taxonomy places the organism in Eukaryota, Metazoa, Chordata, Mammalia, Eulipotyphla, Erinaceidae. The record is from Rfam.